Molecule: long non-coding RNA, 452 nt
Organism: Oncorhynchus tshawytscha (Chinook salmon)
Lineage: Eukaryota; Metazoa; Chordata; Actinopteri; Salmoniformes; Salmonidae
Source: Ensembl
GUUUUUCAUAGCCACCGUGCUUCUACACCUGCAUUGCUUGCUGUUUGGGGUUUUAGGCUGGGUUUCUGUACAGCACUUUGAGAUAUCAGCUGAUGUACGAAGGGCUAUAUAAAUAAAUUUGAUUUAAUUUGAGCUGCCGGUUGCUAGGUGAUGGCUGGUGGAUGGGGUAGCAGGUUGCUAGGUGAGGGGUGGUGGAUGGGAUAGCAGGUCUCUUGUGGAUGGGUGGUGGUUUCUAGGUGAGGGGUGGUAGAUGGUAUAUCAGGUUGCUAGGUGAGGGGUGGUGGAUGGGAUAGCAGGUCUCUAGGGGAUGGGUGGUGGUUGCUAGGUGAGGGGUGGUAGAUGGUAUAGCAGGUCUCUAGGGGAUGGGUGGUGGUUGCUAGGUGAGGGGUGGUAGAUGGGAUAGCAGGUCUCUAGGGGAUGGGUGGUGGUUGCUAGGUGAGGGGUGGUGGAUG